Molecule: transfer-messenger RNA, 358 nt
Filed under: Acidobacteriota bacterium
Lineage: Bacteria; Pseudomonadati; Acidobacteriota
Description: Acidobacteria bacterium transfer-messenger RNA
Rfam family: transfer-messenger RNA
About the family: Bacterial tmRNA, also known as 10Sa RNA or SsrA, is named for its dual tRNA and mRNA-like properties. Its role is to liberate the mRNA from a stalled ribosome.
Source: RNAcentral
GGGGGUGCCAGGUUUCGACGGGGGUACUCCGAGGUGAAAGAUGCAUACCGCGGCCCAUGCCCCGCGUUAUCAAGCUUGGAAAAACACAAUCGCGAAUAGCGAACUAGCACUGGCUGCCUAAUCUCAGCCACGUUUCCCCCGGCAUCGCCUGUGUGCCGGGAAGAAGCGUAACUUAAGUAGGCUGCCCCAAAGGACCCGUGCUCAGGGGGCCGGAGGGUAAGACCAAUCUGGGCUAGCUUGCCGUGAUGCUUCGUUGCUUCCGCGGUUACGGCAAGCGAAUCAACAGGAAGCAACUAAGUAUGUAGGUUCUUUCGCUGAGGGCUUCCGGACGAGAGUUCGAUUCUCUCCACCUCCAUUG